GGAAUCUUCCACAAUGGACGCAAGUCUGAUGGAGCAACGCCGCGUGAGUGAAGAAGGGUUUCGGCUCGUAAAGCUCUGUUGUUAAAGAAGAACGUGGGUAAGAGUAACUGUUCAGGUAUUGACGGUAUUUAACCAGAAAGCCACGGCUAACUACGUGCCAG
RNAcentral lists this ribosomal RNA (161 nucleotides) under uncultured bacterium. RNAcentral describes it as "partial 16S ribosomal RNA". It matches the Rfam family "Bacterial small subunit ribosomal RNA", at positions 358 to 511 of the family's 1533-position model. The record is from RNAcentral.